GACGAACGCUGGCGACGCGCUUAACACAUGCAAGUCGAACGGAAAGGCCUGCUUUCCCUUGUGGAUUGCGGGUACUCGAGUGGCGAACGGGUGAGUAACACGUGAGUGAUCUGCCCCCAACUUGGGUAUAAGCCUGGGAAACUGGGUCUAAUUCCCGAUAGGACUGCAGGGUGGUGCCUGUGGUGGAAAACGAUUUUCUAGUGGUUGGGGAUGAGCUCGCGGCCUAUCAGCUUGUUGGUGGGGUAAUGGCCUACCAAGGCGGCGACGGGUAGCCGGCCUGAGAGGGUGGACGGCCACAUUGGGAAUGGGAGACGGCCCAGACUCCUACGGGAGGCAGGAGUGGGGAAUAUUGGACAAUGGGGGGAAGCCUGAUGCAGCGACGCCGCGUGGGGGAUGACGGCCUUCGGGUUGUAAACUCCUUUCGACCGCGAGGAAGCCACCUGGUUGGAAGGGUGGUGACGGUAGCGGUAGAAGAAGCACCGGCUAACUACGUG
This 494-nucleotide ribosomal RNA is filed under the name uncultured bacterium. RNAcentral's name for it is "partial 16S ribosomal RNA". It matches the Rfam family "Bacterial small subunit ribosomal RNA", at positions 28 to 507 of the family's 1533-position model. The record is from RNAcentral.